GAUGAACGCUGGCGGCGUGCCUAAUACAUGCAAGUCGAGCGAACGGACGAGAAGCUUGCUUCUCUGAUGUUAGCGGCGGACGGGUGAGUAACACGUGGAUAACCUACUUAUAAGACUGGGAUAACUUCGGGAAACCGGAUCUACUACCGGAUAAUAUUUUGAACCGCAUGGUUCAAAAGUGAAAGACGGUUUUGCUGUCACUUAUAGAUGGAUCCGCGCUGCAUUAGCUAGUUGGUAAGGUAACGGCUUACCAAGGCAACGAUGCAUAGCCGACCUGAGAGGGUGAUCGGCCACACUGGAACUGAGACACGGUCCAGACUCCUACGGGAGGCAGCAGUAGGGAAUCUUCCGCAAUGGGCGAAAGCCUGACGGAGCAACGCCGCGUGAGUGAUGAAGGUCUUCGGAUCGUAAAACUCUGUUAUUAGGGAAGAACAUAUGUGUAAGUAACUGUGCACAUCUUGACGGUACCUAAUCAGAAAGCCACGGCUAACUACGUG
This 497-nucleotide ribosomal RNA is filed under the name uncultured bacterium. RNAcentral's name for it is "partial 16S ribosomal RNA". It matches the Rfam family "Bacterial small subunit ribosomal RNA", at positions 28 to 507 of the family's 1533-position model. The record is from RNAcentral.